UCUGAGCACCGGGUAAUCGCUUGUAAGUUUUGCUUAUAAGAGGAAAGUCCGGACUCCAAGCGAAUAGGAUUCCUCAAAAGGGCUUCGGUCUGAAUUGGGGGCGACUUUAGGGUCGACGGAUAGUGCCGCAGAAAAUAACCGCCACGGUGUUCGCAUUGUGGUAAGGGUGAAAAUGUGUGGUAAGAGCACACGGCGGUUCCCAGUAAUGGGUGCCGGGGGUAAACCCAAUCCGGAGCAAGACAAAAUAGGCGUGUUCGGUUGUUCGUUCCGAUAUGGCACGCGGGUAUGUCGCAUAGAUACAUGGUUACCGGUCAGGCAGUAAUGUCUGAUUACAGAAUCCGGCUUACAGGUGUUCAGACGAU
RNAcentral lists this RNase P RNA (362 nucleotides) under bacterium. Its description in RNAcentral is "RNase P RNA component class A". It matches the Rfam family "Bacterial RNase P class A". Rfam says of the family: Ribonuclease P (RNase P) is a ubiquitous endoribonuclease, found in archaea, bacteria and eukarya as well as chloroplasts and mitochondria. Its best characterised activity is the generation of mature 5'-ends of tRNAs by cleaving the 5'-leader elements of precursor-tRNAs. The record is from RNAcentral.